GACGAACGCUGGCGGCGUGCCUAAUACAUGCAAGUAGAACGCUGUUGCGAACGGUUGCGUACCGCGUAGGUACCUUCCUCAUAGCAGCGAUUAACUAUUGGAAACGAUAGCUAAUACCUCAUACUGUGAGUUGCCCCUGUGUUUUAUUAGAUAGUUGGUGAGGUAAAGGCUCACCAAGGCGCCGAUACAUAGCCGAACUGAGAGGGUGAACGGACAAACUGGGAAUGAGACACGGCCCAGACUCCUACGGGAGGCAGCAGGAGGGAAGCUUCGGCAAUGGACGGAAGUCUGACCGAGCAACGCCGCGUGAGUGAAGAAGGGUUUCGGAUUGUAAAGCUCUGUUGUUCGAGACGCGGUAACUAACCAGAAAGGGACGGCUAACUACGUGCCAGCAGCCGCGGUAAUAC
RNAcentral lists this ribosomal RNA (407 nucleotides) under uncultured bacterium. RNAcentral's name for it is "partial 16S ribosomal RNA". It matches the Rfam family "Bacterial small subunit ribosomal RNA", at positions 28 to 526 of the family's 1533-position model. The record is from RNAcentral.